Molecule: ribosomal RNA, 251 nt
Filed under: uncultured prokaryote
Description: partial 16S rRNA
Rfam family: Bacterial small subunit ribosomal RNA
Source: RNAcentral
ACGUAGGGGGCAAUCUUUUUCCUAAUUUACUUUUUUUAAAUUUUUCUCCUCCAUUCCUUUAAUUCAUUUUUUAAAUCCCGGGGCUUAACUCCGGAACUGCCAUAGAAACUGCAAGCCUAGAGUACGGAAGAGGUUGAUGGAAUAUCUGGUGGAGCAGUGAAAUGCGUAGUUAUCAGUUCGUGCCUUAUUGUAUUUGGCAGUGAAUUGUUUUUUUUUGGACGCUAAAGCACGAAAGUGUGGGGAGCGAACAG